RNAcentral lists this RNase P RNA (348 nucleotides) under Betaproteobacteria bacterium. RNAcentral describes it as "RNase P RNA component class A". It matches the Rfam family "Bacterial RNase P class A". Rfam says of the family: Ribonuclease P (RNase P) is a ubiquitous endoribonuclease, found in archaea, bacteria and eukarya as well as chloroplasts and mitochondria. Its best characterised activity is the generation of mature 5'-ends of tRNAs by cleaving the 5'-leader elements of precursor-tRNAs. Lineage: Bacteria; Pseudomonadati; Pseudomonadota; Betaproteobacteria. The record is from RNAcentral.
GGAGUCGGCCUGGCAGCCGCCGUGCACGAGCCGUGCACGGAGGAAAGUCCGGGCUCCGCAGAGCGGGAUGCAGGGUAAUACCCUGGCACGGCGACGUGACGAACAGGGCCACAGAGACGAGUCCUCGGUGUGAAAGCCGAGGGGUGAAACGCGGCAACCUCCAUCCGGAGCAACACCAAAUAGGCAAGCGAGUUGUGGCUAAGCCCACAAUGGCAGGUCUGCUCGACCGAGCUUGCGGGUAGGUGGCUAGAGCGCGCGGGCGACCGCGCGCCCAGAGGAAUGGCUGCCGUUCCCGGCGGGUCCGCCCGGCGGGAGGCACAGAACCCGGCUUAUCGGCCGGCUCCCGUU